CUACGGGGGGCAGCAGUGAGGAAUAUUGCACAAUGGGGGGAACCCUGAUGCAGCAACGCCGCGUGGAGGAUGACGCAUUUCGGUGUGUAAACUCCUUUUAUAUGUCAAGAAAAUGACGGUAGCAUAUGAAUAAGCACCGGCUAACUCCGUGCCAGCAGCCGCGGUAAUACGGAGGGUGCAAGCGUUACUCGGAAUCACUGGGCGUAAAGGACGCGUAGGCGGAUUGGAAAGUCAGGUGUGAAAUCCUACAGCUUAACUGUAGAACUGCACUUGAAACUACGAGCCUAGAGUAUGGGAGGGGGAGAUGGAAUUAGUGGUGUAGGGGUAAAAUCCGUAGAUAUCACUAGGAAUACCUAAAGCGAAGGCGAUCUCCUGGAACAUAACUGACGCUAAGGCGUGAAAGCGUGGGGAGCAAACAGGAUUAGAUACCCUAGUAGUC
Molecule: ribosomal RNA, 439 nt
Filed under: uncultured bacterium
Lineage: Bacteria
Description: partial 16S ribosomal RNA
Rfam family: Bacterial small subunit ribosomal RNA
Source: RNAcentral